ACAUCUUUUUUCUCUCUAUCUCCACAACAAAACCUCAAUCUCCACCUCCCAAAAUCCAAACUCAUAAUAUUUAUCUCCCCUUACUACUCCAUCUCCUCCAUCACCACCACCACAACUACCAUCUUCCACCACCAUAAAAUCUAUCACCACCACCAUAAACUCCAUCACUACCACUCAAAAUUAGCGAAAGAAGCAUCAUAUCUUCAUCACCAUUCCAUUCAUCAUCAACAUCAACAAGUUUAUAAUCCAUUCAUUCCACCAUCAAGGAGAAUCUAAGGGCAUUGAAGGAGGAAAAUCAUGGAGGAGCUAGUCAUCAAUUUGUCAAGCUUCAACUAAGUGAGGGAACUAUGAAUAAUUGACAAGUUCCACUUGGCACAAUACCAUUGGCAACAAUUGACAAGUUCAACAAAAUUCAGCCCCACAAUUAAGGCAUAUCCGGCGAAGUUGGAAGAAGCGAUAGAGUGAGUUUGAUUGGUGCAGUGAGCUUCACUGGUAUUGUUGGUAUUCAUUGCUGGAGCUAGAUUGUGGGAGAGGAGAGGCAACAGCCAAUACACCCAAGCAGAUAUUGAUCAAGUGCGAAAUGAGUUGGGGAAGUUUGUUGUCAACACAUGUGCAUGAGUCAUGAAGUAGCACGCAUGUUGUUGGUACAUUUUCUAUAAGGAAAGCAUCUUUUUUGUGCUUCUUUGCUGGUACAUUGUCAUGCAUCAUGUGUGGCAUAUUUUGGAACAAUAUAUAUGUGUAUAAGCUUUUUGAUAUCCCAAGUAGAUGGGUAUGCACUAGAAUGCUUUUCUUGUU
Long non-coding RNA from Rosa chinensis, 795 nucleotides. RefSeq lists it as uncharacterized. The transcript is spliced from 4 exons. Lineage: Eukaryota; Viridiplantae; Streptophyta; Magnoliopsida; Rosales; Rosaceae. The record is from RefSeq and is a predicted model, not a curated record.